This 154-nucleotide unclassified non-coding RNA is filed under the name uncultured Eurotiomycetes. Its description in RNAcentral is "sequence contains ITS2". Lineage: Eukaryota; Fungi; Ascomycota; Eurotiomycetes. RNAcentral also lists the same sequence under 1 other name. The record is from RNAcentral.
UCACGGUAUCAAGCUUGGCUUGGUGUUGGGCCCUUUGUCACCUGGUGACAGGUCCGAAAGACAAUGACUGGUGUAACAGACUCCAUAUGCAACGAGCUUAUAACAGCACGCAUUUGGCAGUUGUGUGACCCGGUCUUCACCCUUUCUUUCUCAA